GGUACGGUGCGCCCGGCCGACUGGGGCAACUCAGCCAGUGCUGGUGUGCGCCUGCCUUUCAUGGAAGCUCUACACGCACUUCACUGUGUGGGUAGUGUUCUCCAUCUUUUACUUUGAAAAAAUUAGAGUGUUUAAAGCAAGCAAUCGCUAUGAAUAUAUUAGCAUGGAAUAAUAAUUUAGGGCUUUAUUCCUAUUUUAUUGGUUCUGAGGGAUAAAGUA
RNAcentral lists this ribosomal RNA (219 nucleotides) under uncultured fungus. RNAcentral's name for it is "partial small subunit ribosomal RNA". The stretch from base 57 to 219 matches the Rfam family "Eukaryotic small subunit ribosomal RNA", at positions 700 to 864 of the family's 1831-position model. The record is from RNAcentral. Lineage: Eukaryota; Fungi.